This 899-nucleotide ribosomal RNA is filed under the name Enterococcus faecalis. RNAcentral describes it as "bacterial SSU rRNA". It matches the Rfam family "Bacterial small subunit ribosomal RNA", at positions 41 to 910 of the family's 1533-position model. The record is from RNAcentral. Lineage: Bacteria; Bacillati; Bacillota; Bacilli; Lactobacillales; Enterococcaceae.
CGUGGGGCUACUAUAAUGCAGUCGAACGCUUCUUUCCUCCCGAGUGCUUGCACUCAAUUGGAAAGAGGAGUGGCGGACGGGUGAGUAACACGUGGGUAACCUACCCAUCAGAGGGGGAUAACACUUGGAAACAGGUGCUAAUACCGCAUAACAGUUUAUGCCGCAUGGCAUAAGAGUGAAAGGCGCUUUCGGGUGUCGCUGAUGGAUGGACCCGCGGUGCAUUAGCUAGUUGGUGAGGUAACGGCUCACCAAGGCCACGAUGCAUAGCCGACCUGAGAGGGUGAUCGGCCACACUGGGACUGAGACACGGCCCAGACUCCUACGGGAGGCAGCAGUAGGGAAUCUUCGGCAAUGGACGAAAGUCUGACCGAGCAACGCCGCGUGAGUGAAGAAGGUUUUCGGAUCGUAAAACUCUGUUGUUAGAGAAGAACAAGGACGUUAGUAACUGAACGUCCCCUGACGGUAUCUAACCAGAAAGCCACGGCUAACUACGUGCCAGCAGCCGCGGUAAUACGUAGGUGGCAAGCGUUGUCCGGAUUUAUUGGGCGUAAAGCGAGCGCAGGCGGUUUCUUAAGUCUGAUGUGAAAGCCCCCGGCUCAACCGGGGAGGGUCAUUGGAAACUGGGAGACUUGAGUGCAGAAGAGGAGAGUGGAAUUCCAUGUGUAGCGGUGAAAUGCGUAGAUAUAUGGAGGAACACCAGUGGCGAAGGCGGCUCUCUGGUCUGUAACUGACGCUGAGGCUCGAAAGCGUGGGGAGCAAACAGGAUUAGAUACCCUGGUAGUCCACGCCGUAAACGAUGAGUGCUAAGUGUUGGAGGGUUUCCGCCCUUCAGUGCUGCAGCAAACGCAUUAAGCACUCCGCCUGGGGAGUACGACCGCAAGGUUGAAACUCAAAGGAAU